RNAcentral lists this ribosomal RNA (328 nucleotides) under uncultured eukaryote. RNAcentral describes it as "partial 18S ribosomal RNA". It matches the Rfam family "Eukaryotic small subunit ribosomal RNA", at positions 1470 to 1796 of the family's 1831-position model. The record is from RNAcentral.
CCCUUAGAUGUUCUGGGCUGCACGCGCGCUACACUGAUGCGCUCAACGAGUUUUAACCUUGCCUGGAAAGGUUGGGUAAUCUUUUUAAAACGCAUCGUGAUGGGGAUAGAUUAUUGCAAUUAUUAAUCUUCAACGAGGAAUGCCUAGUAAGCGUGAUUCAUCAAAUCGCGUUGAUUACGUCCCUGCCCUUUGUACACACCGCCCGUCGCUCCUACCGAUUGAGUGUGUUGGUGAGGAGUUUGGAUUGGCCUCGGAAGGUGGUUCGCCACCGUCCGUAGCUGAGAAGUUCUCCAAACCGCCCCACUUAGAGGAAGGAGAAGUCGUAACA